This 320-nucleotide long non-coding RNA is filed under the name Homo sapiens (human). RNAcentral's name for it is "non-protein coding lnc-SLC47A2-2:4". Lineage: Eukaryota; Metazoa; Chordata; Mammalia; Primates; Hominidae. The record is from RNAcentral.
AAACAGGACAAUUUGCUGAGGCCUGGGAGCACCCCACUCCAGAGAAUCCCUGAUGUCCCAAAAUUUGGUUGAGAUCUAAAGUUUAUUUUGCUGUACACCUCUUUGUCUGCAGUUUUACUUACUCCCAACAAAGAAGGUGCGUUUUCCUGCCUCCAUGACGAUGGAGGGGAGGCAACUCCUUUCUGGAAUUUCAUCUGGCUUCCAGCAGGGAAGGUAACAUGCACAUGGUCAAAAAAUGGAACAAUAUGAACAAGAUAGUAAGCAAAGUCUUACUGCAAUGCCCUUCCAGUUUGCCCCAGUACCAGCCCUGCCUCCUCCAG